This 497-nucleotide ribosomal RNA is filed under the name uncultured bacterium. Its description in RNAcentral is "partial 16S ribosomal RNA". It matches the Rfam family "Bacterial small subunit ribosomal RNA", at positions 28 to 507 of the family's 1533-position model. The record is from RNAcentral.
GACGAACGCUGGCGGCGUGCCUAAUACAUGCAAGUUGAGCGAUGAAGAUUGGUGCUUGCACCAAUUUGAAGAGCAGCGAACGGGUGAGUAACGCGUGGGGAAUCUGCCUUUGAGCGGGGGACAACAUUUGGAAACGAAUGCUAAUACCGCAUAACAACUUUAAACAUAAGUUUUAAGUUUGAAAGAUGCAAUUGCAUCACUCAAAGAUGAUCCCGCGUUGUAUUAGCUAGUUGGUGAGGUAAAGGCUCACCAAGGCGAUGACACAUAGCCGACCUGAGAGGGUGAUCGGCCACAUUGGGACUGAGACACGGCCCAAACUCCUACGGGAGGCAGCAGUAGGGAAUCUUCGGCAAUGGACGAAAGUCUGACCGAGCAACGCCGCGUGAGUGAAGAAGGGUUUCGGAUCGUAAAACUCUGUUGGUAGAGAAGAACGUUGGUGAGAGUGGAAAGCUCAUCAAGUGACGGUAACUACCCAGAAAGGGACGGCUAACUACGUG